Molecule: ribosomal RNA, 253 nt
Filed under: uncultured bacterium
Lineage: Bacteria
Description: partial 16S ribosomal RNA
Rfam family: Bacterial small subunit ribosomal RNA
Source: RNAcentral
UACGGAGGGUGCAAGCGUUGUUCGGAAUCAUUGGGCGUAAAGCGCGUGUAGGCGGCUUGGCAAGUCCGUUGUGAAAGCCCGGGGCCCAACCCCGGAACUGCAUCUGAAACUGCCUGGCUAGAGUCCCGGAGAGGAAGGCAGAAUUCCCGGUGUAGGGGUGAAAUCCGUAGAUAUGCGGAGGAACACCGAUGGCGAAGGCAAUCCCCUGGGCCUGCACUGACGCUCAUGCACGAAAGCGUGGGGAGCAAACAGG